Molecule: long non-coding RNA, 266 nt
Organism: Tachysurus fulvidraco (yellow catfish)
Lineage: Eukaryota; Metazoa; Chordata; Actinopteri; Siluriformes; Bagridae
Exons: 2
Source: RefSeq, a predicted model, not a curated record
AUGACUCGGGGAAUAGAUGACAGCAGUGAUAUAACUGGUAUAACAAUAAUAAAAGUAUAUCACUGGGCCUGGACAUUAUGAAUAUACACAAGUGAGUUGAUGCAUCACUGAUUUACGUGAUAAAUGUGUGUUAUAAAUAUACUCGCAUACUUAUUAAGUAAUAGUCCUGUCACUGUGGGUAUGAGAUAUAUGUGUGUUUGUGUGUGUGUGUGUGUGUGUGUGUGUGUGUGUGAGAGAGAGAGAGAGAGAGAGAGAGAGAGAGAAUA